ACUAAAAUAUUUAGCUGAAAAUUUCAUAAGGUUUCAUUCCACUUUUUCUCUGUCUGCCGUUUCACUCUUCCUCACUCUCCAAUCUCCAUAUCCAUCGUUCUUCAUGGAACUCUCAAUCAUCACUCUCCAUCGUUCCUCACUCUCCAUCAUUAACUCAUCAAUUGAACCCUAAAACCUUCUCUCCAUCAUUCCCCAAAACUUGUUAAACCCUAAAUCCCAAAUUGAACCCAAAAAUUGAAGGAUUGAAGGCUAGAAGGAGUUUUCUCU
Molecule: long non-coding RNA, 267 nt
Filed under: Trifolium pratense (red clover)
Lineage: Eukaryota; Viridiplantae; Streptophyta; Magnoliopsida; Fabales; Fabaceae
Description: long non-coding RNA (TPRA_LNC006896)
Source: RNAcentral